UUGGAAGAACUAUCAGCUGCAU
RNAcentral lists this microRNA (22 nucleotides) under Sus scrofa (pig). Its description in RNAcentral is "ssc-mir290". The record is from RNAcentral. Lineage: Eukaryota; Metazoa; Chordata; Mammalia; Artiodactyla; Suidae.